RNAcentral lists this ribosomal RNA (475 nucleotides) under Treponema denticola. RNAcentral describes it as "bacterial SSU rRNA". It matches the Rfam family "Bacterial small subunit ribosomal RNA", at positions 9 to 472 of the family's 1533-position model. The record is from RNAcentral. Lineage: Bacteria; Pseudomonadati; Spirochaetota; Spirochaetia; Treponematales; Treponemataceae.
GAGUUUGAUUAUGGCUCAGAACGAACGCUGGCGGCGCGUCUUAAGCAUGCAAGUCGAACGGUAAGGGAGAGCUUGCUCUCCCCUGGAGUGGCGGACUGGUGAGUAACGCGUGGGUGACCUGCCCUGAAGAUGGGGAUAGCUAGUAGAAAUAUUAGAUAAUACCGAAUGUGCUCAUUUACAUAAAGGUAAAUGAGGAAAGGAGCUACGGCUCCGCUUCAGGAUGGGCCCGCGUCCCAUUAGCUGGUUGGUGAGGUAAAGGCCCACCAAGGCAACGAUGGGUAUCCGGCCUGAGAGGGUGAACGGACACAUUGGGACUGAGAUACGGCCCAAACUCCUACGGGAGGCAGCAGCUAAGAAUCUUCCGCAAUGGACGAAAGUCUGACGGAGCGACGCCGUGUGAAUGAAGAAGGCCGAAAGGUUGUAAAAUUCUUUUGCAGAUGAAGAAUAAACACAGGAGGGGAUGCCUGUGAGAUGA